Molecule: non-coding RNA, 2315 nt
Organism: Phoenix dactylifera (date palm)
Lineage: Eukaryota; Viridiplantae; Streptophyta; Magnoliopsida; Arecales; Arecaceae
Source: RefSeq, a predicted model, not a curated record
UAGGUCCUCUUUGGGAAUGGCACGGACUGAUAUUACAAGAAUCUGUGGGUGGAGAUGGUUGGUCUGGCCCAACCUAGUUCCAGAUGACCUCCCAGCAAAGAUCCCACGGGAUAAGAAAAGACCUCUUCAGUCUUUUUUGGGUACUCUGCUUGGGCCCUCUCACUCUCCCAAACUCCCAUGUUCUCUCUUUCUCUCCCUCCAUUCCCUCUGCCCUCGCCCUUUCCCUCCCUCCAUUCCCUCUGCCCUCGCCCUUUCCCUCCCUCCAUUCCCUCUGCCCUCGCCCUUUCCCUCCCACCAUUCUUCUUGCCCUCUCUCUUCCUCCCUCCAUCCCUCCCUUUCUAUCUUUGGUUCUUAAAAGCAUAUCCUAAUAGGUCUUUAGAUUGUUAACAAAAAGGGAGGGAUAUUUAAACUUGCUUUGACUAGUUAUUAGGAAUAUUUUAGUUAAGGGAGCUUAGUAUAUUGAUUAGUUAAGAGACAACUUGCUUUGACUUCUUAUUAGGGAUAUUUUAGACCUAUGAGAAUUCCUAUUUAAACUUUGUGAAGUUAAGGAAUUGCUGUGCAUGAAUGGUGUAAUAUAAACAAAAAAGGCAAUCGAUCUCAACUGAAACAUCACCUUUUUAUGGGUAGUAGAAAGUUUAGACGAUCUCUUCUUUUCCUAGCUUAUUGUUCCAUGUUUUCUUGCAUGUUGCUGGAUUAAUUCCUUGUUCAUUAUGCUUGCUCUUGCCAAGAGAUAUGCAAAUAUGCUGAUGUCUGUAGUUGCUCUAUGAAGUCAUUCAUGAUGUUGGAAGAAAGUAUAUUUUAUUCUGACAUCGAGCAGAAAAUUGUUUGCAUGUACAUAUCUGAUGCUACACAAUGAUGUUCAUGUUCAAUAAGGAAUGUUACUAAUAGUUUGUUUUGGUGUAGUAAAAGUAUGACAUUGCUAGUUGCAUUUUAUUCCUUUUUGUUUUUGCUUAAUGAAUUUUUUUAGUUGGUGCUACUAAAAAUAAAACCUUAUUAUAUCAUGGGCUCUCAUAUUUUGUUAUGAUAUAACCAUUAAAAAUCUAGAGAUUUUUGAUCUGUAUAUGUUUUAACAUGUGUAGAGAGGUCAUUGCUUAGUGCAAUGGUAAAGGCUUGGGUUGACAAGCGCAAUGGCGCGGGUUCGAGUCUUGGGGCAGCUACUUUGUACAACAAAAGCUCAAACUUCAAAGGUCAACAUGAAAAUUUAGCUUCUGGCCCUAUUGAGGACUUGAUAGCCCAUGGUGAACAUAGCCUCUAGUUUAUCUAUUGAAGUUGCAACACAUCUUCAACAGUGUCUGUCUAAGCAAAAAGGUGGAAAGAAUCAGUUGUGGGAGCUUUGUUUAAGGCUAAGGCUAAUGAAGGUGAGGGCCCGGAACUACUUCAUAGUACAUCAGACACCAAUACUAGUGAUCAUGCUGAGUCAUUGGUUGCAAACCUUGCAGAACAUCGGCAACAUUUAGUUAGCAUACAGGGCCUCAUCAAUCAACUAAAGGAAGCUAUUCCAGCAAUGCAGAAGUCAAUAUCAGAGCUCACUGAAGAAGUAAAUAGUAUUAGAGCAAAUGCUGCAAUCAAUCUAUACUAUGAAGGUGAGAGGAGAAAGAGAUUAGAAUUUUUCAAAACUCCAAAAAACCAAGACCAGUUUCCUGGAUGGGCAGAUAGUCCUCUAUAUCAACCACCCACGCUUCAGUUCUAAAGUCAUGGUUCUCUCUCCCUUCCUCACUCCGCACCUUUAUCUGAAACUGAUGCUGCCCCAAUGGAACAUUAGAGUCCCGAAGAAAUUCUUCAUGGUUACCGGAAGCUCAGCUGGUAGAUGGAAUGUUGAGAAUUCUUUGCAGUCCUUGCAUUUGGGACCAACACGUAUCUGCAUGGCACAUCCACCAAGCUUCAACAUGUGGAUGCAUGUGUGCGUCAACUUCGCACACAAAAAACUGUCUUUCUUUUCGUAUCAAAAGAAAUCUCUGGAGGCAUGGAAUCACUUUUGGGUUCAUCAGGACGGGUGAUGUAUUGACAUCAGCGUAUAGUGGAGAUGCUCCCACUUUUGUAUUUACUUUACAUCAUCUGUAAUUGUAUUGUGGUAAGUCAAAAACCACCACUCGUCCAAAUGCCUUGUGCCAUCAAUGGCUUGUUUGGUCCAAUGUGUUUCUUAUGAGUUUCUGAGCUUGAUUCUUAUUUCCGUUAUACAAGUCCUCAAUAUUGUAAUAGCUUAUCCUUUGGUCUUAUCUGGAAACAUGGUAUAGAUAGAUGUUAGAAGAUUAUGCAAUCUCUUAUCGAAAACUUGCCGAGUUUGUCAAAACUCGAGUAUUUCUUGUUUCAGAAUA